Molecule: ribosomal RNA, 484 nt
Filed under: uncultured bacterium
Lineage: Bacteria
Description: partial 16S ribosomal RNA
Rfam family: Bacterial small subunit ribosomal RNA
Source: RNAcentral
AUUGAACGCUGGCGGCAGGCCUAACACAUGCAAGUCGAGCGGAUGAAGGGAGCUUGCUCCUGGAUUCAGCGGCGGACGGGUGAGUAAUGCCUAGGAAUCUGCCUGGUAGUGGGGGAUAACGUCCGGAAACGGGCGCUAAUACUGCAUACGUCCUGAGGGAGAAAGUGGGGGAUCUUCGGACCUCACGCUAUCAGAUGAGCCUAGGUCGGAUUAGCUAGUUGGUGGGGUAAAGGCCUACCAAGGCGACGAUCCGUAACUGGUCUGAGAGGAUGAUCAGUCACAUUGGAACUGAGACACGGUCCAGACUCCUACGAGAGGCAGCAGUGGGGAAUAUUGGACAGUGGGCGAAAGCCUGGUCCAGCCAUGCCGAGUGUGUGAAGAAGGUCUUCGGAUUGUAAAGCACUUUAAGUUGGGAGAAAGGGCAGUAAGUUAAUACCUUGCUGUUUUGACGUUACCAACAGAAUAAGCACCGGCUAACUUCGUG